Xyrichtys novacula (pearly razorfish) is the source of this 1305-nucleotide non-coding RNA. NCBI's taxonomy places the organism in Eukaryota, Metazoa, Chordata, Actinopteri, Labriformes, Labridae. The record is from the annotation of a GenBank genome assembly.
GUUGGAUAUGAUAGAUGACAACAGUAAUACAUUUUAAAGGGUAAACACGACCUGAUCUUCUGUCAACUGUUAGAUAAGAGGCCAUUCAAGAAGUCAUGUUUGAUGAAAUAAAGUUCAAAAGAUGCCAUGACCGCACACUUGUAAAGAUAACACAUGAGUACUACUGCUGUUUUAUGAUCUCAUCUGUUCUUCGCUGGUUUAAUACUAAGAAUCUGGGAGUCAGUUCUUACCACACACAAAGCAGAAGCACCAUGCUGACUGGUAAUGGAUUUUCAUUUGCAAAUAAAAUAGGGGCAAACCAGUUUAUUUGCACUUGUGGGGAUUAAAACAAAUCACUAAUGAAGUCGGGACUUCAUUUAGAGGCUCUGUGUGCUCAGUGGAGCUUUUCAGUUCACUGAACUGGAUGUUUUUUUGCUUUUGCCAGCACUAAAGAAAAACCUUUAAUCACCACACACAAGACACCCACCAACAUUUCUGCAAGUAAGAGUGCUGUAGCAGUCUUGAUUAACUGGGACACUUGCUUUCAUACGUCUGCAAAGUGACCAACACAAUGGUUUUGGAUGACUUCUAAUUCCUGACUUCUACACUGCUGGAAUUUGACAUAUGACUUUUUCUUUAAUUAACCUAAAAGGAUCCAUUUAGUUCACUAUCUACCCGACACUUUGGUUUAUCCAGGAAAAUUUUCUAUACAGUUUAGAAACUGCAUUUACUCUACAUCAACAGAUAGUUAGACUUUUGUGCAUGUCUGUAAAUUAAAUUCAAUGCUGCAACCGGAGGCUUAUUAGCUUAGUUCAGCAUAAUGACUGUAAACAUUUGCUGAAAGCUACUUAAAUGGUUCACCACCAAAAAGUUCUCCAACAAAAACAAGUCUUUAAAACCCAAUUUUUGUUUUCACACUUUUUGUGAGGAACAAUUAAAUGAACAAAAUGUAAAAUUCUGUAAAAAAUAUGAUCUACUGAAUCAGAUUUUGAUGUGAAAGAUGAAUUAAAGCUACAGUAGGGUACUUUUAGUGUCAUCUUGUCCUUCAUACAACAUGGUAUUUCUUGAUAUUAACAAUUAAUUUUGUUUUCUUUUGACGGUCUUCUUUGUCAAUAUGAAAAUCUGCGGUCCAAAAUGUCAAGAAAGUGUGUUGUCAGUGUUCCUGACUGAGCAGUACACCUCACAGCAGUUCCAGGUGUUAAAAAUUACGAUAAAGAACUUGCCACUCUUGUUGCUGGUGGUCUUGUCUGCCAAUAAAGAUGAUUAGGAAGCAUCAAGUAUCCAUGUCAAUAUGUUUCACAAGCAGUUAAAGCCCUCAUCAGAGCU